This is a long non-coding RNA of Choloepus didactylus (southern two-toed sloth), 492 nucleotides long. RefSeq lists it as uncharacterized. The record is from RefSeq and is a predicted model, not a curated record. NCBI's taxonomy places the organism in Eukaryota, Metazoa, Chordata, Mammalia, Pilosa, Megalonychidae. The transcript is spliced from 3 exons.
AUGGAACCCCAAUGAAAGCUUGGCUCUAGGAACAAGUGGGCUGCCUGUGUGGGAAUGAAGGACUUAGGCUCACUACUGGAAACAAAGAAACUAAGGCCAAAGAGAUUAACUCAUUGCCUGAGACGACAAUGCUAUAAGUGGAGGAGUGAGCUUCCAAAGGCAAACACCAUGACUUCAGAAGAUGGAGAGACUGAGGCUCAGCAAUGUGAAAUGUGCUACUCCGGGUCGUGUGGCUGCUAAAUGGUGACAGUGUUCUGUUUUAUAACAUGAGAGUUUGGGCCAGACCUUUGGGGACUUGUCUUUUCUCACUUGAUAGAAAGAGUAUGAAAUAAAAAAGAAGAAAGAAAAGAAAACUCUCAACAUGUUACAUUUCCAUUAGUGAUUGGUGUCUGGAUAUUAUUUUAGAAUCUCUGGAAAAAGAACCAGGUUUCUGUUGGGGACGAUUAAGGUAGCAUGUAUAAAAUCCACCCUCAGCGAUGCCGGAGAUAUGCA